GCCGGCCCUACCAUGACCCAAUCGAUGUUUUAACCUGAUAAGUUCGGACAUGACUUAUCGAGAGUACACGAGGUCAAAGUAGCAUCUUGCCGACAGGCAGGUUUAACCAAGUUUCAAAGAAGGCGGCUUAAUAGCCCAUGGAGUGUCCGCACUUUCUAUAAGCCGUCUCCUACAUGACCCAAUCGAUAUUUUAACCUGGAUAAGUUCAGGGUCCAUGUGGAUUGACUUACCGAGAGUACACGAGGUUCAGAGUAGCAUCUUGCGAACAAGCGGGUUUAACCAUGAAUUUUUGCCAAUAUGGCAGGACACCCAUGUUUAAACUGCGCAUCGUGGCAGCUACUCCUCUUUGGUGACCUUUAGUUUGCCCUCCAGUAAAGGAGGGCACCCAUGUUUGAAUGGUCGCAUCAUGGUGGUUCUCCUCUUGGGCGACUUUAAGAUGCCCACCAAUAAAGCAGGGCAUCCAUGUUUGAACUAUCGCAUCAUGGCGGCUCUUUCUCUUGGGCGACUUUUAAAUUCUUUUGCCAAUGAGGUAGUAGACUGGGUUAUCUUUUCUUUAAUGACCUAGGGUUCUUGAAUUAUUCAGCCUGGUUGAAUCUGGCGAGCCAUGUCUAUGUAGCACCCGAGUCUUAAGUCGACUCAAGGAGGCGGCUUGAGAGUCUCAAUACUUGACUGUGGCAUAAGCUGGCGGAGAAAGAUGUUGGUACCCGCUCCAUCUUCGAGAUAUAAAGCCACUUUUUGUAAUGAAGAAUUCUCCUGCGUAAAAAUAUUGCAGGCCAAAGUAAUUGUUCUUGGACAAAUAACAUAUAUACUAAAAAAUAGAUAAGAUGAAUAGCACCUGAUGUGUUAGAAUAGACCGGACCACGCGAGGGACGGCUUCUGCAUUUUACCGAAUUGUCCAAUGCAGUUGAUCGUUGGUGCACCUCCCAUUUUAUAACUUAACGUGAUGAUUUCAACGGACGACGGAUGUGUCCCAAGCAAAAAAAAGAUCUUUCUCCUUUUUUUUCUUUUUUUAGGCUAGCUGCCUCUUUUUUAUCCAGCCAAUCCCUAUCUUCUUUGACUUAGAGUAAUGCUAUACUUAUAAAGGCUUACGUAAAGAUUUUACGUACAACUGAUAAUGCUAGACAUACAAAAACUUACAAAGGUUUACUUAACCUUCCAAACUAACUCUUCUCUUCCCCCUGAUUUUCAAUGAGAAUGGGCCCCUCAUCCCUUAAUUACCAAUCACAAUCUUACACGUUAGUUUGUACGUAAAAUUUUUACAUAAGACUUUGUAGGUGUAGCAUUACUCCUGACUUAUAUACCCGGCACGCGAGCAAAGGCGGAGCCGACGCGGUGGGUUGCCAUGCAAAGGGAGUUAAGAGCAACCCGGCCAGCGGGGUGAGGUGACCGGCGACUUGAUGUGAGGCGACAACGGUAGGAGACUCGAGGCUGGCGACUCGAGGCAAGGCGACGGUGGCAGGCGACUUGAGGUGAGGCGAGGCGAAGCGGAGCCAGUGGUUGGGCGGUGGCGGGUCAACCGACGGUGUCAAAGGCUGGCGACUCGAGGCGAGGCGGGUCAACCGACGGUGUCAAAGGCUGGCGACUCGAGGCGAGGCGAUGACGGCAGGCAACUCGAGGCGAGGCGACGGCGGCAGGCGACUCGAGGCGAGGUGAGGCAAAGCGGAGCCAAUGGUGGAGCAGUGGCGGCUGGCGGGUCGAGCGACUGUGACAAAGCAAUGUCGGGGGGACAAUGCAGCGGGGCAGCGAGCCGACGCUGAACGGGGCAAGUCAAGGGCCGCUCGGAAGAGCCGGCCACGACGGCGGCUUAGCCAUGGCGAAGGCAUGGCGUGGCUAAGGCGGAGCGGGGCAAUCUGGUGGCGGAAGACCACUAUUCCAUGCGAGGCAGCGGGAGCGGUCUUUAGCGAGCGGUGGUCAUGGCAAAAAUGCACGCGUGGGCCGGCUUGGCGAGGUAGACCAGCUCGAUGUGACGCGGUUGUGGAGGUAGGCCGGCAUGGUGGCUAGGGCGCAAGGCCGACGGAGACACCAUGGUGCCGGCGGGCCGACGCAGAGUGGCGAGUCGCCUUGGCAUGCGGAAACCGGCGCUGAGCGGGGUGCACGAAGGCGAGAGACGUCCGGGGCUCGGCGCGGAGGUGGGGUGCGCGCAGCCAACCACAUGGCAGCAUGAGAAGGCGGGAGCGGCUACUGGAGAUGGUGGGUGUGUGGCGGCACGAUCCACGGCGGAGACUUUCUCACGGCCAGAGGCAAAUCCGGCGGCUCGUACCAGCAUGGAGCGGUGAGGGCUCGCAGCGAGGGGAGCGCGACAGCAAAGGUGACGCCAGCUCGGGUGUGCGCGAAUGGCGAGUCGAGCCCGACUCGGAGCGGGUGCAGCAAGGCAGAAACGCCGGCGGCUCAGACGCGAAGCUAUAGCGAAGGCAGGCACAACAGGUUAAAACGCGCUCGGAUUAGAGCGGCGACUUGGCGGCGCUUGGUGAGGCGAAGCGUCUUCAGCGUGGCGAGUCGGCACGCAUGGUGGAGAGCGGCCGAUGCGGUGCCGUGAGCCGGUCGGGCGCGGGAGAGGCGAGUCCGGUGAGGCGACUUGAGACAAAGCCAGCGAUGUGGGCGGCGGAGGCUGGUGCGGUGCGGCGGAACCAACCGAGGCGCCGGAGGCGAGGCUGGCGCAAGGUUUGGCCGCGGCGACGAGGCGUCUUGAGGCGCAAUAGAGGUGGGCGACUCAAAGAUGAGGAGUGGACGAUCCCGAGCUCAACUCGGAGAAAGUGCUGGUUAAUGUGCAGUGCGGUUGGGUGCGGUGGCUCACGCGAUGGUGCGAGGCGAUGUGAGGCAAAACCAGAGAGGUGUAGAUGGAUGUGUGUCAUUGGUGCAGAGGCGAGCUGGCAUGGUAACCCGCUAUUUAAAACAUUGGUGCAGAGGCGAGCUGGCUGGUAACCCGGAGAGGUGUAGAUGGAUGUGUG
RNAcentral lists this long non-coding RNA (2948 nucleotides) under Hordeum vulgare. RNAcentral's name for it is "long non-coding RNA (HVUL_LNC010600)". Lineage: Eukaryota; Viridiplantae; Streptophyta; Magnoliopsida; Poales; Poaceae. The record is from RNAcentral.